GGAAGCGUGGCCGAGUGGUUGAAGGCACUGGACUUGAUAACCGGCGACGGGUAACUGUCCGUGAUUUCAAAUCUCAGCGCCUCCACCA
RNAcentral lists this transfer RNA (88 nucleotides) under Burkholderia territorii. Its description in RNAcentral is "tRNA-Ser". It matches the Rfam family "tRNA". Rfam says of the family: Transfer RNA (tRNA) molecules are approximately 80 nucleotides in length. Their secondary structure includes four short double-helical elements and three loops (D, anti-codon, and T loops). Lineage: Bacteria; Pseudomonadati; Pseudomonadota; Betaproteobacteria; Burkholderiales; Burkholderiaceae. The record is from RNAcentral.